Hemicordylus capensis (graceful crag lizard) is the source of this 2913-nucleotide long non-coding RNA. RefSeq lists it as uncharacterized. Lineage: Eukaryota; Metazoa; Chordata; Lepidosauria; Squamata; Cordylidae. The transcript has 3 exons. The record is from RefSeq and is a predicted model, not a curated record.
GCCGCAAGACAGAAGCACUACAAUGAAAAGAGAGGCUCGGCAAGGGAACGUAUCUGCCCGUAACUCUUCUAGUUGCCAAGAAGCAUAGACGGAACAUAUGGUCACUUUGUAAAGAGUGAAGAAGGGGAUGGAUCUCAGUUGAGAAGACUCAGAGUUCCAUGCCAUAGAAAGGCUUUUACUGCGGGAGUCAAGAAACUUCAAGACUGCCAGGAACAGAAACUGCCCAAUCAGAAGAUGAGGUAGAAGACUUGAAAGAGGAGAUGGACUGGGGAAUUUCCACAACCCAGACUCUGGAUGCAGCCCAUCUGCUUGAACCCCAUGAACAAGGGGAACCCAGUGGACCAGGCCCCACACCCCUUCCAUGACCUGAAGGCAUGGCUCUUUCCUCUUCAUCAAAUUUGGAAGAUUCUACUGAGCACCCAGCAUAUAUGUCAGAGCCCCUCCAGUACUAUUGGAGUCAGUGGCUAGCAUCCGAACAAAUAAAGUGCAUGUGUUAGAAGACUCUGUGAAAAUGCAAUGGAGACCUGUGCACAACUCCCUCAGUCUUUCACUGUUGUGCCAGAGGUCCCAGCUAUGCCCACACUUCAAAAGCAAUCUAAAGGAGAAGGAACACAUUUCUGAGGGUCAACGACAUGCUUCUUUCUUUACAGAGCAUCUCCAUGUUGUGGGCAUUGCUGAAAAGUUACACCCUCUGGUGUAACAGCACGCAGAGGAGGAAUGGUGGAGUUGUGCAUGGGCUCCGCUUUCCGGAGACUGGACAAUAUGUUCUGGCUUCUCUGAAUCCCACAAUGCAUCAUGCACUGAGCGCGGUGCAUUGGGGGAUCCCCCUGUCAGACAAGUGCUCUAGGCAAGUAUAUUAGGCUAAGCAUAUUAGGCUGAGUAUAUUAGGCAAGUAUACUAGGCUAACUGCUGGGUACAAAAGUCAGGUUAGGCGGUCACCCAUCUAUCACAGUGUGGAUCUCAUUGCUUCACAUGCACAGCCUAACCCAGGCUGGGCUGCCCUAGCCUGGGUUAGGCUGCGCAUGCGAAUAGCCUUUCUGACUGGAAUUUGUUGCCUUGAAAGUUUGUGAAGACUGUGGAGAAAGAUCAGAUCAGGACCUUGGAAAAAGGGUAUAAACACAAGAGACUUUGAAGCCUAAACUCCCUUUUUUAAAAAGGAACUUUUAACCACCAAUGUUUCAUGAAAUACCUGUGUGACCUUAUAUCUCUAAAUAUUUUAUUUUCCAGCAUCUUUCAAUAUUAGACAUAAACAUACCAAAAUUAAACUAAAGUCCCAUUAUUUUCAAUGGGGAGGGUUUAAGCAUGUGCUUAAGUGUCUCACUGGAAUAAAUUAGGCUUAAUUUUGGAUGGAUUGUGCCCAUCCAAAAUAAUUCCCUUUCCCCCAAAGGGCUCACAGUCUAAAAGGAAACACAAGGUGGACAUCAGCAGCAGCCACUAGAGGGUUGCAGUGCUGGGAAUGGAUAGGGCUAGUUGCAAUCCCACUGCUAAAUAAAGAGAACCACCACGUUAAAAAGGUGCCUCUUUGCCUAGUUAGCAGGGGGACUUAGGUAUCAGGAAUGGAAAAGCUCUCUGAGACCUUGAGAAGAGGCUGUUUGUUAGGAUGAACUCGGGGGUGUAGCAAGGUUGGGUUCUGGGAUGAAAAAUGAAAUGGGCCCCUGCCCCCUGUCUUUGUCUUCCGAGAGGCACAAGAAGGUGAGCAAAGAGCAAUCUCACACAGCUGGGGACCCCUCUCCCACAGGGACCCUGGGGCUUCCCCCCCCCCCAGCAAUGUUUAAUUGUAAGUAUGAAUUGUACCCUAGAAGGCUCCACCCUGGUUGCAUAUGAAAGGGAGACUACAUGUGUGAGCACUGAAAGAUAUUCCCCUUAAGGGUCGGAGCCACUCUGGCAAAAGCAGUAGGUUCCAAGUUCCCUCCCUGGCUUCUCCAAGAUCAGGCUGAGAGAGAUUCCUGCCUGCAACCUUGGAGAAGCCACUGCCAGUCUGUGUAGACAAUACUGAGCUAGAUGGACCAGUGGUCUGACUCAGUAUAUGGCAGCUUCCUAUGUUCCUAUGACUGUACUAAGCUAGAUGGGCCAGUGGUCUGCUGUGUACAAGGCAGCUUCACAAAUGUUUUUUCCAAACUGCUUUUGAAGAAUCAAAGCUGACCAGCAUCUGUAAAGAGCUCAAUUAGAGUGUGAUGCAUAUUGACAGGGCUUAAUCAUGUUAGGGUAAAUUUAUUGAUAUGACACCUGAAAUUAUUGCUAUGAACAUUUUUACCUUCGUGGGGCCUGACCCACAAUCUAAAUAAGCUAAUAUUAAUACAAUGCAGUCCAUUUGCUUUAAAGGAAGCAUCUGGCUUAAAUCCAAAUACUUUGCAUAUGUGAUGUUCAUUUUAAAAUAUAUCAUUAGCUCAAGGUAUAGUAAUACUAAUGUUUUCACGUGCACUAUCAGAGUUAACCAGAAAUGUGCAUGUAACUGUGAUAUAUUAGUCUGCUUAAACAAUAACAUAUAAAGUUCCUGUAUGCAAUAUUUAUUGAUGUCAUGUCAUUGCUUAUUUGCCACUUAUCCUGAAAUGGUCACUUCCAAUUUGGGACCCAGUCAUGUGAAGAGACUUGGCCAUAGUCUCUACAAUGAGGAGUUCUUUUGUUUUGUUCUUAAUUAUUUCUACCAGUAUCGGAGUACAAUUUGAAUUUAGCAACGAGGCAAAUUUAAUUUUAAUUUCAUAAAACUUACUGUUGCAUUUCCAAAAGAAGAGUCAUGACAAUUGCUCACCCUUUCCAUUGGGAAGCAAGGGAUUUUAAACUCCAGGGAGGUAAUUUACAUUAAACUUGCAGCAAGCCUUCUUAGUGAGUCUUUUAACUGGAUUUUAUUGUUCCUUUUUCUGUUAUGCUAUGGUCAGAUGACUACAUGCAAAUAAAAAUGUAUCUAUCAAACUA